This 253-nucleotide ribosomal RNA is filed under the name uncultured bacterium. RNAcentral's name for it is "partial 16S ribosomal RNA". It matches the Rfam family "Bacterial small subunit ribosomal RNA", at positions 524 to 776 of the family's 1533-position model. The record is from RNAcentral.
GACGAACCGUGCGAACGUUAUUCGGAAUCACUGGGCUUAAAGGGCGCGUAGGCGGGCCGCCAGGUCCGGGGUGAAAGCCUCCAGCUCAACUGGAGAAGUGCCUUGGAUACCGGCGGCCUCGAGGGAGGCAGGGGCGUGCGGAACUUCGGGUGGAGCGGUGAAAUGCGUAGAUAUCCGAAGGAACACCGGUGGCGAAAGCGGCGCGCUGGACCUCUUCUGACGCUGAGGCGCGAAGGCCAGGGGAGCAAACGGG